AACGAACGCUGGCGGCAGGCUUAACACAUGCAAGUCGAACGCCCGUAGCAAUACGGGAGUGGCGGACGGGUGAGUAACGCGUGGGAACGUACCCUGAGGUACGGAAUAACCGAGGGAAACUUCGGCUAAUACCGUAUGAGCCCCGCAAGGGGGAAAGAUUUAUCGCCUUGGGAGCGGCCCGCGUCGGAUUAGCUAGUUGGUGGGGUAACGGCCUACCAAGGCUUCGAUCCGUAGCUGGUCUGAGAGGACGAUCAGCCACACUGGGACUGAGACACGGCCCAGACUCCUACGGGAGGCAGCAGUGGGGAAUCUUGCGCAAUGGGGGCAACCCUGACGCAGCCAUGCCGCGUGAACGAUGAAGGCCUUAGGGUUGUAAAGUUCUUUUACCCGUGACGAUGAUGACGGUAACGGGGGAAUAAGCUCCGGCUAACUUCGUGCCAGCAGCCGCGGUAAUGUCUGUACU
This 463-nucleotide ribosomal RNA is filed under the name uncultured bacterium. RNAcentral's name for it is "bacterial SSU rRNA". It matches the Rfam family "Bacterial small subunit ribosomal RNA", at positions 29 to 531 of the family's 1533-position model. The record is from RNAcentral.